GGGGCUUAAAUAAGCGACAGGGUCUGGCGUAGUUAUGGUGGCAGAUAUCCCUAGGUCAACCAGUGCCCGCCACGUGUCCCACUCACCGCGGCAUAGGGCUGACCGUUGGCGGGACCAUUAUGGUAUGGCGCUUGGGACUAUGCCCCGGUGGAAAUUUCGAAAGGACCCUUCAGAUCGCUCCUGUUGGAAAAAGGCUCUGGCACACGCGCAUUAAAUACUAAAAUAUCUGAG
Molecule: long non-coding RNA, 231 nt
Filed under: Elaeis guineensis (African oil palm)
Lineage: Eukaryota; Viridiplantae; Streptophyta; Magnoliopsida; Arecales; Arecaceae
Description: long non-coding RNA (EGUI_LNC031905)
Source: RNAcentral